UUCUCCUUCUUCUUUAAUCUCGUCUUCUUCAGCUCAAAACCUAAACCAAACAAAACCUUAACACCACUUCUUCUCUCGAUCAAUCAAUCAGCGAUUAUUCACCUUUAAUCGACCAUAGAUCUUUCCUUAAUCGUCGAUCCCAAUUAACAUGGCUUCGAACGGCGCUUCUCCGAGGAUUGUUGAUGCUACUGAUAACAGCUUGGAUAAGAUCAAGCAGCAAUUGGAAUCGAGGGUUAUCGGAACUUGCUUCUGGGACCUCUUAUUCAAGCGAGCUGAAACUGAAUUAACAUAGAAUCCGACUAAUUGAAAGUUAUAAACUCCUCAACUUAGCAUAAGCAGAUCAAAAAAUGAAGAGAAGGAAGCUUCUACCAUCAGAAGCAUCAGGACAAAAAUCUGAAACAAAGGAGAAUCAAAUCUACAUCCGCAUCUAUGCAAGAAGGUGGAGGCAUUAUUGGAGUUGUAGGUGUUCUGCUAAAAAGACUCUGGCUUGUAUUAGUCAUGGCGCUUAAUCCAGAUGGAGUUAACAAUGGGUUAGGUCUGGUGUAAGGAGAGCAAGGCUUGGACAUUUUUCCACGAAGUGAACCUGUUUUAAAACUCAUCAAGAUUUAGAGAUAAAGAUGAAGAUGUAUUAGCAUCUGCAGAGUUCUCAAUGGGGCUAACUUGUGGGUCUGGAAGGAAAGAGAGCAAUGAAAUAUUCUUGAUAUACACAAUCAAUAGCACAUAAGGAAGAUGGACUAUUCAAAUAAGCGAGGACCAACUCAAGGGUUUCACCUGUGUUGUUGGUAUACUGGCGCCAAGAAUGGAGCACCUUAACCUGGACACGCCAAGAUGUCUUGUAUGGUCUGACAUCUCUUAACAUUGCAAAUUGGGAAGCCAUUGGUGAAGGUCGCAGCAACUAAGGAAAGAUUUGGUGACUCAAAAUCGGAGCAAACAAUUAAAUUAGGCAAGAUCCGAGAUUCUCCUAAUCGGGUCUAAAAACAAUUAAUUCCGGGUCAAAAUUUUGACCCGAUUUGGGUACCCAAAAACUGCUGCAAAAAUGUAUAGUAGAUUACAGUUCAAUUAUAUGUCGAGUUUUGCAUGAAA
Arabidopsis lyrata subsp. lyrata is the source of this 1083-nucleotide long non-coding RNA. RefSeq lists it as uncharacterized. NCBI's taxonomy places the organism in Eukaryota, Viridiplantae, Streptophyta, Magnoliopsida, Brassicales, Brassicaceae. The transcript has 9 exons. The record is from RefSeq and is a predicted model, not a curated record.